UUAGGAAUCUUGGACAAUGGGCGCAAGCCUGAUCCAGCCAUGCCGCGUGAGUGAUGAAGGCCUUAGGGUUGUAAAGCUCUUUCAGCGGGGAAGAUAAUGACGGUACCCGCAGAAGAAGCCCCGGCUAACUUCGUGCC
This 137-nucleotide ribosomal RNA is filed under the name uncultured bacterium. RNAcentral describes it as "partial 16S ribosomal RNA". It matches the Rfam family "Bacterial small subunit ribosomal RNA", at positions 355 to 509 of the family's 1533-position model. The record is from RNAcentral.